Non-coding RNA from Ictidomys tridecemlineatus (thirteen-lined ground squirrel), 478 nucleotides. Lineage: Eukaryota; Metazoa; Chordata; Mammalia; Rodentia; Sciuridae. The record is from RefSeq and is a predicted model, not a curated record.
GGGGCUGGGGAAAGACAGCACAGGGGUUUGUUCUCUCCUUCUGCGGACGUUCAAAGUGUGGGGUUUGGUUCCAAGAAACUAGCGGGAGUGCUUGGGCCCGGGCCCGGGAAGAACAAGAAUGCCCGGCCCAGAGCAAGGCUGCAGGAGGGGUCACCAGAGGCCACUGGACCCCUUCCCCGCCUCCCUCCAUCUUAGCACUCGAAUUUCCCAGAUUGAAGUCCCUGGAACAGGAAGAAAAGGGGCUGCAUUUCCUCCUCAGGCUGGAGAACUUGGACCUGUCCCCGAGGAGCGGCUGUGAGCCUGGCCAGCGGCCCGGGGCCAGCCAUCGCACCUCCAGGGUCACCGUGGGGCAAGGCUACUUCCUGGCUUUGAGGGGUGCAGCUUUCGACUUUCCUGGGAAGAAAAAGCGCUGGCUCUGGUUUGAAUCUCAGCCUUGGCCGUGACUCCCUUGACCUUGAACAAGUGACUUCCUUCUUGA